Molecule: small RNA, 28 nt
Filed under: Bombyx mori (domestic silkworm)
Lineage: Eukaryota; Metazoa; Arthropoda; Insecta; Lepidoptera; Bombycidae
Description: ovarian small RNA-31950
Source: RNAcentral
UGACUGAUAACUAGUAGCUGCAGGGAGU